AUUUUGUUUCAUCCAUUAUCCUUUAAAAAAAAAAAAAAAAAACCGUGCACCCGCAUCAGAUUUUCCCCUCCUUCCAUUUCAUUUUUGCGUCUUGCAACCAACGGAGACUCUCACUCGACUGGACUAGAUUUGAAACCCUCACUUCUCUUUUCCUCUCAGUCUGCCCUCUUCUUCCAUCACCCUUCCCCUUCUCGUCGUCGGUGUGUGCACGGAGGAGCCAGGCUCGUCACCGUCGGAGGUCGUGGUCAACGUUCGCGGCUCUUCCUCGUCCUUCCCUGCUUUAAGCUGGCGAUCUCUUCUUCUUACCCCUUCGUUCGCGUAGCUGCUGUCAUUUUCACCUCUUCGUCCUUCUCCUUCAGUCGCCUAUAUGUGUGCUACUGUACGUGUGGGUCAAACGAGGAAUUUGAGUGUGCCUUAAUGGAAGAUGGAGGUGGAGUAGAACAUUGGGUAAGCAAAUUAUUUUUCUUAUAUUUUCUUCUGGUUGUUUUAAAGAGAGAGAGAGAGCGACUUAAGUUAUGAUAAUCGAAAAAUGGUUGCCUAGAAAUUUCAAGGUUUAAGUUUAUUUAUUUGUUUUAGCUAAUGGGAUGCAUAUCAAGUGUUUGAGGUAAUGCCUGAAAGAAGAAAUAAAGAGAAAUUGAUUGUGUCGAGAAGAUGAACAUAUAGGAGGUAGUGCAGGAUGAACACCUACAAAUGUUUGAAUGGUUAGGAGAUAUUUUUCUUUUAGUUGGUUGCUAAGCACUAAAAGUAAGGUUACUCGAUAUCUUUUACCAAUGGAGAGAAUUACAAGCUAAAAGUUGUAAUUGUAAGUUAGGGAUUGGAUUUAUUGAAGAUGAUUUUCCCUUUUUUUAUGUGAUUUUCUUUGAUGCUUGAAAGUUGUUGGGAGGCAUACCUGUUCUAGAGCUGCUUGUAUGAGUGGGUGUAUGAAAUUGCUUGAAAGAAACUAAAAUUUUAUGGAAGUUGGUAGCUAGUUAAAAUAGUUGCAAGGCGAUUAUAUUAUGGCUUUCUUGAAUUGCUCAAUCUCUAUAUUAGCAUCGGGGAGUUUAAAUAUGGAUUCUUAACCUUAAGAGAGAAGCUAGCUAAUAAUUUGGUUAUUUGAAAUUUGAUUUCUGAAGUGGUUGGGAUUUAUGAAUUAUGAACAAUGUGAUUUGUUAAGAUAUAUUAUAGUUGGUUAUAAGUAUUGCAUGUAACUUUUAUUGGAAGAGCAUUAAGAUAAAGAUGGAUAAGAAUGAAGAAAAGUUACAAUGGGAUUGAUAAUAAAACAAAAACGCUUGGAUGGAAAUUUGACAAUAAUUUCUCUUUGGCUACUUAGAUAACCAUUAUGGUGAUUUCUCGUGGGAUUUGCUAAAGGGUAAAUUUUAUUUAUUUGGCAAUGUCUUAGGUAGACUCCUAAGAAGUACUUAUACGGAUAGCCAAAUAGAAAGUUUUCAAUUGCACAUUGUCUCUACGUAAUAUGAUUGAAAAGUCCUAAACCCAUUGUAAUUGUUUUGUAUCUUAGUUAAUUAUGCUCCAUGUAUUUUAUAGUUAGGAUACUCGCCUGGUUAUGUUUCA
This is a long non-coding RNA of Prosopis cineraria, 1548 nucleotides long. RefSeq lists it as uncharacterized. Lineage: Eukaryota; Viridiplantae; Streptophyta; Magnoliopsida; Fabales; Fabaceae. The transcript is spliced from 3 exons. The record is from RefSeq and is a predicted model, not a curated record.